GUAGGUGAACCUGCGGAAGGAUCAUUACCGAGUAUCGGGUCUCAGUGCCCGCGCUCCAACCCUCUGUGUACCAACUUUGUUGCUUUGGCGGGCCCGCGGUGCAACGCCGCCACCGGCUCACGCUGGUUAGUGCCCGCCAGAGGACCGUUAAACUCUUGUUUAAACAGUGUAGUCUGAGUAAAAUCUAAUAGUUAAAACUUUCAACAACGGAUCUCUUGGUUCUG
This 224-nucleotide unclassified non-coding RNA is filed under the name rhizosphere metagenome. RNAcentral describes it as "partial ribosomal RNA internal transcribed spacer region". The record is from RNAcentral.